This 253-nucleotide ribosomal RNA is filed under the name uncultured bacterium. Its description in RNAcentral is "partial 16S ribosomal RNA". It matches the Rfam family "Bacterial small subunit ribosomal RNA", at positions 524 to 776 of the family's 1533-position model. The record is from RNAcentral.
UACGAAGGGGGCUAGCGUUGCUCGGAAUCACUGGGCGUAAAGCGCACGUAGGCGGCUUCUUAAGUCAGGGGUGAAAUCCUGGAGCUCAACUCCAGAACUGCCUUUGAUACCGAGAAGCUUGAGUCCGGGAGAGGUGAGUGGAACUGCGAGUGUAGAGGUGAAAUUCGUAGAUAUUCGCAAGAACACCAGUGGCGAAGGCGGCUCACUGGCCCGGUACUGACGCUGAGGUGCGAAAGCGUGGGGAGCAAACAGG